GACGCUAAUACCGCAUACGUCCUACGGGAGAAAGCAGGGUUACCUUCGGGCCUUGCGCUAUCAGAUGAGCCUAGGUCGGAUUAGCUAGUUGGUGAGGUAAUGGCUCACCAAGGCUACGAUCCGUAACUGGUCUGAGAGGAUGAUCAGUCACACUGGAACUGAGACACGGUCCAGACUCCUACGGGAGGCAGCAGUGGGGAAUAUUGGACAAUGGGCGAAAGCCUGAUCCAGCCAUGCCGCGUGUGUGAAGAAGGUCUUCGGAUUGUAAAGCACUUUAAGUUGGGAGGAAGGGCAUUAACCUAAUACGUUAGUGUUUUGACGUUACCGACAGAAUAAGCACCGGCUAACUCUGUGCCAGCAGCCGCGGUAAUACAGAGGGUGCAAGCGUUAAUCGGAAUUACUGGGCGUAAAGGGAGCGUAGGUGGCUCUAUAAGUCAGAUGUGAAAUCCCCGGGCUUAACCUGGGAACUGCAUCUGAAACUGUAGAGCUAGAGUAUGUGAGAGGAAGGUAGAAUUCCAGGUGUAGCGGUGAAAAUGCGUAGAGAUCUGGAAGGAAUACCGAUGGGCCCAAGGCAGCCNUUNCUGGCAUAAUACUGACACUGANGGCUCGAAAGCGUGGGUNAGCAAAUCNGGAUUAGAUACCCUGGUAGUCCACGCCGUAAACGANUGUCUACUAGUNCGUUGGGUCCCNUUGANGGACUUNAGUGANCGCAGNCUNAACGCAAUAAGUAGACCGCCUGGGGAGUACGGCCGCAAGGUUAAAACUCAAAUGAAUUGACGGGGGCCCGCACAAGCGGUGGAGCAUGUGGUUUAAUUCGAUGCAACGCGAAGAACCUUACCUACCCUUGACAUCCAGAGGACUUUCCAGAGAUGGAUUGGUGCCUUCGGGAACUCUGAGACAGGUGCUGCAUGGCUGUCGUCAGCUCGUGUUGUGAAAUGUUGGGUUAAGUCCCGUAACGAGCGCAACCCCUAUCCUUAUUUGCCAUCGAGUAAUGUCGGGAACUCUAAGGAGACUGCCGGUGACAAACCGGAGGAAGGUGGGGACGACGUCAAGUCAUCAUGGCCCUUACGGGUAGGGCUACACACGUGCUACAAUGGCAAGUACAAAGGGUUGCAAUAA
This 1119-nucleotide ribosomal RNA is filed under the name uncultured bacterium. Its description in RNAcentral is "bacterial SSU rRNA". It matches the Rfam family "Bacterial small subunit ribosomal RNA", at positions 159 to 1255 of the family's 1533-position model. The record is from RNAcentral.